RNAcentral lists this unclassified non-coding RNA (577 nucleotides) under Warneckea parvifolia. RNAcentral's name for it is "partial external transcribed spacer". Lineage: Eukaryota; Viridiplantae; Streptophyta; Magnoliopsida; Myrtales; Melastomataceae. The record is from RNAcentral.
GCAUGGUAUGCAUUGAUCACAUACUAACGUGUUUAGUGUUUUGUGAGUGGGUCUCCCCUCAUGAGCUGCUGGCUCGUUAGUGGUGAUUGAUCUGUCAAUGGGACGACGCAUGAGUGGUGAUUAGGAUGUGUUUUCAUGCAGGCUCUACGUAUUUUAUGUUGAACUGUGUGGAGCUAUCCAUUUCAGUAGUCUGUUGCUUCGGCUUGUCUUUGCUGUUGCAAAAUGUUUUGGUGGUUUCUGUGUUAUCUACCGAUUUCGGUAUGAGCGAUUGAUAGAAUUCGUUGCCUUUUGUUCUUUCCGCUGUUGGCUGGUCUAGUGAAGGUGGACGUUACAUUGGUCUCCUGUGGUCCUUGCAAGUUAUAUCCCUUUUGUGGGAGUGGAUUUGCAAUGGCUUGUAGGUGGUUGUCUUUGCUCUUGGGUAUGUGAAAUAUUUGGUUAUCGUUUGGGUCUUUGACCUAUACAUAUCAUGUGUUGARCAUGUAGCCUUAUUUUGUUUGACCCUCGUGCAUGUUCCUAAGCUCAUUGAGCCUUAGUGCUCAAUGUUCGUCAUGGAGAUGUCGAGGUUUACAAGGAAUGC